GGGAAUGUGGCUCAGUGAUAGAGUACUUGCCUAGCAUGCAUGAAGCCCUGGGUUCGAUUCCUCAGUACCA
Molecule: transfer RNA, 70 nt
Filed under: Dipodomys ordii (Ord's kangaroo rat)
Lineage: Eukaryota; Metazoa; Chordata; Mammalia; Rodentia; Heteromyidae
Rfam family: tRNA
About the family: Transfer RNA (tRNA) molecules are approximately 80 nucleotides in length. Their secondary structure includes four short double-helical elements and three loops (D, anti-codon, and T loops).
Source: Rfam by way of RNAcentral